This 440-nucleotide ribosomal RNA is filed under the name uncultured bacterium. RNAcentral describes it as "partial 16S ribosomal RNA". It matches the Rfam family "Bacterial small subunit ribosomal RNA", at positions 338 to 795 of the family's 1533-position model. The record is from RNAcentral.
CCUACGGGAGGCAGCAGUAGGGAAUAUUGCUCAAUGGGCGAAACUCUGAAGCAGCAACGCCGCGUGGAGGAUGAAGGCUUUAGGAUUGUAAACCUCCUUUGUUAGAGAAGUUUAUGACGGUACGUAACGAAUAAGCACUGGCUAACUCCGUUCCAGCAGCCGCGGUAAUACGCAGGCUGCAAGCGUUAUACGGAUUUACUGGGCGUAAAGAGUGCGUAGGCGGAGUAACAAGUCAGUUGUGAAAUCCUGGAGCUUAACUAGAGAACUGCAUGUAAACCUGUUACUCUGGAGUUUGGGUGAGGUAGGUGGAAUUCUUGGUGUAGCGGUGAAAUGCUUAGAGAUCAAGAAGAAUACUGAUUGCGAAGGCGGCCUACUGGAACAUUACUGACGCUGAUGCACGAAAGCGUGGGGAGCAAACAGGAUUAGAUACCCGAGUAGUC